CUCGAUGAGUAGGGCGGGACACGUGGUAUCCUGUCUGAAUAUGGGGGGACCAUCCUCCAAGGCUAAAUACUCCUGACUGACCGAUAGUGAACCAGUACCGUGAGGGAAAGGCGAAAAGAACCCCGGCGAGGGGAGUGAAAAAGAACCUGAAACCGUGUACGUACAAGCAGUGGGAGCCCCACCACUAAGCCAGUGGUGAACUCCACAUACGCAUCCUUUGCUGAGGAUACGGUUAACGGAGCGAAAGCGACGUUCAACCGCAAAAGAAGCAGAGGGGGCUUAGUGGUGGGGUGACUGCGUACCUUUUGUAUAAUGGGUCAGCGACUUAUAUUCUGUAGCAAGGUUAACCGAAUAGGGGAGCCGGAGGGAAACCGAGUCUUAACCGGGCGUUAAGUUGCAGGGUAUAGACCCGAAACCCGGUGAUCUAGCCAUGGGCAGGUUGAAGGUUGGGUAACACUAACUGGAGGACCGAACCGACUAAUGUUGAAAAAUUAGCGGAUGACCUGUGGCUGGGGGUGAAAGGCCAAUCAAACCGGGAGAUAGCUGGUUCUCCCCGAAAGCUAUUUAGGUAGCGCCUCGUGAAUUCAUCUCCGGGGGUAGAGCACUGUUUCGGCUAGGGGGCCAUCCCGGCUUACCAACCCGAUGCAAACUGCGAAUACCGGAGAAUGUUAUCACGGGAGACACACGGCGGGUGCUAACGUCCGUCGUGAAGAGGGAAACAACCCAGACCGCCAGCUAAGGUCCCAAAGUCAUGGUUAAGUGGGAAACGAUGUGGGAAGGCCCAGACAGCCAGGAUGUUGGCUUAGAAGCAGCCAUCAUUUAAAGAAAGCGUAAUAGCUCACUGGUCGAGUCGGCCUGCGCGGAAGAUGUAACGGGGCUAAACCAUGCACCGAAGCUGCGGCAGCGAACGUAUCACUUAAAGCGAUUCAGCGGGUUACGAUUGACGG
This 947-nucleotide ribosomal RNA is filed under the name Salmonella enterica subsp. enterica serovar Dublin. RNAcentral's name for it is "partial 23S ribosomal RNA". It matches the Rfam family "Bacterial large subunit ribosomal RNA", at positions 404 to 1227 of the family's 2925-position model. The record is from RNAcentral. Lineage: Bacteria; Pseudomonadati; Pseudomonadota; Gammaproteobacteria; Enterobacterales; Enterobacteriaceae.